This 28-nucleotide non-coding RNA is filed under the name Mus musculus (house mouse). The record is from RNAcentral. Lineage: Eukaryota; Metazoa; Chordata; Mammalia; Rodentia; Muridae.
UGAGGUUCCUUGCUCAUGCUAUGAUGUC